This is a long non-coding RNA of Zingiber officinale, 819 nucleotides long. RefSeq lists it as uncharacterized. NCBI's taxonomy places the organism in Eukaryota, Viridiplantae, Streptophyta, Magnoliopsida, Zingiberales, Zingiberaceae. The record is from RefSeq and is a predicted model, not a curated record. The transcript has 3 exons.
UAUUCCUAACCCGUGCCCUAAAGCCUUCCCUCACCGCCGACUUCUCCCCUUCGUUUCCUCUGUGCCACCCUCCGAGGGCUGCAACGGCGUCGGCAGAUCGCCGGCCUCGCUUACCCCGCACCGGCAGAGUCUCCCGAGCCCUCUCCCUCUCACGAUUUCCCCUCUUCACCGUGCCCUAGCCGCCUCUUUUCCUCUCUCGAUCUCACGUAUGUGAUCACGCCGACCACCAUCCGCACCGCCGGGAUCUUUCCCUCUUCUCACCGCAAAUCCUCUUCCUCUGCUGUUGCCGAGUGCGGCCGUCGCCGGAAGGAAGAUCGGCAUCAGCCUCGCGUCUCUGCCCUAGAGUGUCGCAGCCUCCUCGCUGCCCUCCUCCUCACGUGAGCACCACAGCGUCGCCUCCUCUUCACCUCCCUUUUUCCCUUGCAUCCAUAGCCGCCACUUGAUCCUCUACCCGAGCCCUAGAGUCAAGUUGAUUUCGUCGGGCUUUUCUUCGCCGUUUGAGGUGGGUUCUGUCAUCAAGGUAGGUGAGAACCGAUUUGUAGCUCUUAUCUCCGAUUCCAAUAGCAGCAUCACGGUCACAUACUCAUCGGUUGCUUACCUUUGUUUUGACUGUGAGUUUGAUUCUACUUCUACUGCUCAAUUGGUUUGCUGAUUAAGAAGGAGCAGUUCCAUCAUAUCACUGAUGAGGACUUGGGUUCGAGGCGAACGUCUCAACGUGGGGUUGUAUUUGGCACGGUCUACGUAUAAAGGCGGGUACUUCUUGCUUUAUCUCUUUAGUAUUUUGAUCCUAGUGCAUGAGCUUUAUGUUCAGAUAGUUAC